RNAcentral lists this ribosomal RNA (253 nucleotides) under uncultured bacterium. RNAcentral describes it as "partial 16S ribosomal RNA". It matches the Rfam family "Bacterial small subunit ribosomal RNA", at positions 524 to 776 of the family's 1533-position model. The record is from RNAcentral.
UACGUAGGGGGCGAGCGUUGUCCGGAUUUAUUGGGCGUAAAGCGCACGCAGGCGGUUUCGUAAGUUUGGAGUGACAGUGCCUGGCUUAACCAGGCAAGGCCUCUGAAAACUGCGGAACUUGAGGACCAGAGAGGGACAUAGAAUUCCGGGUGGAGUGGUGAAAUGCGUAGAUAUCCGGAGGAAUACCAAAGGCGAAGGCAGUGUCCUGGCUGGUAACUGACGCUCAGGUGCGAAAGCUAGGGGAGCGAACAGG